GACGAACGCUGGCGGCGUGCUUAACACAUGCAAGUCGAACGGAAAGGCCCUGCUUUUGUGGGGUGCUCGAGUGGCGAACGGGUGAGUAACACGUGAGUAAACUGCCCUUGACUUUGGGAUAACUUCAGGAAACUGGGGCUAAUACCGGAUAGGAGCUCCUGCUGCAUGGUGGGGGUUGGAAAGUUUCGGCGGUUGGGGCUGGUCUCGCGGCUUAUCAGCUUGUUGGUGGGGUAGUGGCUUACCAAGGCUUUGACGGGUAGCCGGCCUGAGAGGGUGACCGGCGACCAUGCGCCUGCGAUACGGCCCAGACUCGUACGGGAGGCAGCAGUGGGGAAUAUGGCACAGUGGGCGGAAGUCUGAUGCAGCGACGCUGCGUUCGGGAUGACGUCCUUCGGGUUGUAAACCGCUGUCGCCUGUGCCGAAGCGGUCGUGACGGUAACGGGUAAAGAAGCACCGGCUAACUACGUG
This 468-nucleotide ribosomal RNA is filed under the name uncultured bacterium. RNAcentral describes it as "partial 16S ribosomal RNA". It matches the Rfam family "Bacterial small subunit ribosomal RNA", at positions 28 to 507 of the family's 1533-position model. The record is from RNAcentral.